This 1026-nucleotide long non-coding RNA is filed under the name Phoenix dactylifera (date palm). RNAcentral describes it as "long non-coding RNA (PDAC_LNC007308)". Lineage: Eukaryota; Viridiplantae; Streptophyta; Magnoliopsida; Arecales; Arecaceae. The record is from RNAcentral.
ACCAAGCAACACAAGCAUGGAGAGAUCCAUCUCUGCUAGAUCCUAUGGAGUCGAUGACCACGAAGAAGGUCAAACUUGCCGAGGAUAGAUGAUACCCAUAAGGUCACUAGGCUUAGGAAGCCAUCCUCCGUCUCACACUAUGCCUUAGUAAUGGUGCCAAGAAGUGAAAGAACAUGACAUCCACCAAGCUCUAUUGCUCGGAACUUGGUGGGGGACCUUGGCUGCCUGAGGAAGGUUGGCAGCAGGCGCAAGGGAUCAACGAUGUCUCUACCUUGCUACACCUGCAUAACAGUACCCUCUUUCCAUUCUGUGGCCUCGGUCUCAUCUUCCUCUUGCUCCUCAUCUUUGUCCUCAUCUUCUUCAAGUGGGAUAAUGUAGCUGAGGUCGAACUUGGUGAAGCACCUCAUCACCUGGUGUCGGCAAUCGUAGAAGCCAUGUAGGUAGUUGUUGGUGUAGGCUGAAGUAAGAUCCUUCUAGGCAUCCUAAGAGGCCUUGUAUGCCUCUACAUUUUGAAGAACCUGGUCCUUGCUAGAAGAUGCUUGCUACUUGGCUGCCUGUUUCUCCUUCAUAGCCUUGGCAGCCCAGAACCGUGCUGCUUCGCACUGGGUCCACAAUCCCUUCUGCUCUACGUUCACGACUUUUAGCUGGGCUUCUAGCUUAUCCAUUCUCUUCCUCACCUUAUCCCUCUCCUACGCUACCUCCUAGGCAUGCUGUUGGAGCUAGCGAUACUGCUCAUGAAUGAGCGCAGUGUGGACAAUGCUCUAAUGAAAAAUGAGUUCUCAGCUAUAAAAUGGCUUAACCAAAGAUCAACGGAAUAUGAGAUGAUGCUCACCUCAAUAGUAGCUUAGAAAUCCCUAUGAAAAAAGCUCCUUGCAUCCCCAUCCUCUAGCCUUUUCUUGUUGACAGGGAGGAAGAUCCCCCUAAUUAGCUUCCGGGCCACCUUCAGACCUGUUAGAGCCGAGGCAGAAGAUUUCAUAGUCCACCUAGGCUGGUGGACCUCCCUCUUAGUAGCUGGGCGUGGAAGAG